AUGAGAACAUAUCACAUGGAACUUUCUUUUGGCUUAUCAGCCAUUGUGUUUGGUCUGUGCAGGUUAAGACUCCUCCCAGGAUCAUGCUCUGAUAACCACAAGCAAUCGGUGAAACUGGACUUCCCCUGGGACAAAACGAAAAAAAUGAGGCAGGCAGAAGCAAAGUUGCUACUCCGAAGUGAUCAAGACGAAAUACAGGAACUCCCAGAAUCCACUGUUCCAAGGCAUGUGCCUGGGGUCCCCCAAACUGCCUCUAUCCCUACGACACCCUCUCUUUGUCACCUCCGUAUUAGGAAAUCUUUUUCUUUGGUCAAGGCUCAACUCAGGGGUCAGCCUUCCCUCAUUCGUCCAAUUAUAAUAUUUUCUUUUUCUUCAAAUUGCUCUGUGUGUGUAGCCUGAGGCCAAACCAGCCUGGUUUCCAUUUGGAGGGAAGCAAACCCCUGCCUGAGAAGGAGACCUUCCCAUUGGCUCUAUGGGCCGUUAGGUAGACUCCUCUGGGAAUGGCCUCCAUGCUUACACUCACUGAGCCGUUAGCCAUUGGCUGCUCUUGGCACUUAAAGAAGGCUGGGAUUCUCGCGAGGGACCAGUUGUGCUCACUCAUCCCUCCCUCAUAAGAUCACAUCAGGACUCUCCUUGGCCUUUCCUGACCAGCUUCCCAGCUGGUUGCCUCCGACUUUAUGGUGGGCCCUUUCCCGCGCCCCGGGGCUACGCCCUGAAGACUCUUCCUUUGACGGCUCCAUUUUCUGGAAAGAAGUUCAUCACAGGAGCUCACGCUUCCAAUUCGGGAACCCUGAGUUGCUUUUACUUGUCUAGUGAUAGAAAACAAUCCGACACUUGGUUCUUCUCGACCAUAUGAUGGUCCAAGACAAUGGAAGGACUCGGGAUAAAAAAUGCCAUCGGCCUCCCGAGACAACAGAUAGAGUCGGGACGCAGAUCGAAGCCGACUGCUUUUACUUUAUUUUAUUCGUGUGUGUUUUUAUUUUGGGGUUUUGGUUUUGUUCGAGAGUCUCUCCCAACGUGACCAAUAUGGAAAUCUAUUUUGCAUGAUUGUACAUGUGUAACAGAUUAAAUUGCUUGUCAAAGCAGAGGGUGGGAGGGAGAGAAUUUGGAUCUCAUAAUUUGGAAAACAUGUUAAAAAUUAUUACAUGUAAUUGGGAAAAAUAAAAACUAUCUACACAUAUAUGUAUAUUUUUAA
RNAcentral lists this long non-coding RNA (1195 nucleotides) under Monodelphis domestica (gray short-tailed opossum). RNAcentral's name for it is "lncRNA (ENSMODG00000035889.2)". The record is from RNAcentral. Lineage: Eukaryota; Metazoa; Chordata; Mammalia; Didelphimorphia; Didelphidae.